Molecule: ribosomal RNA, 253 nt
Filed under: uncultured Shuttleworthella sp.
Lineage: Bacteria; Bacillati; Bacillota; Clostridia; Lachnospirales; Lachnospiraceae
Description: uncultured Shuttleworthia sp. partial 16S ribosomal RNA
Rfam family: Bacterial small subunit ribosomal RNA
Source: RNAcentral
UACGUAUGGAGCAAGCGUUAUCCGGAUUUACUGGGUGUAAAGGGAGCGUAGGCGGCAGAGCAAGUCUGAUGUGAAAGCCCGGGGCUCAACCCCGGUAGUGCAUUGGAAACUGUUCGGCUCGAGUGUCGGAGGGGUAAGCGGAAUUCCUGGUGUAGCGGUGAAAUGCGUAGAUAUCAGGAAGAACACCGGAGGCGAAGGCGGCUUACUGGACGAUUACUGACGCUGAGGCUCGAAAGCGUGGGGAGCGAACAGG